Molecule: non-coding RNA, 1219 nt
Organism: Macaca mulatta (Rhesus monkey)
Lineage: Eukaryota; Metazoa; Chordata; Mammalia; Primates; Cercopithecidae
Source: the annotation of a RefSeq genome assembly
GCAGUCAGCAGCAUGAGGUGGUUCUCUCUGCCGUGGUCUCACCCCAGACAUGGAAAGCAAGAGCCCUGGGUGGAGCUGAAGGUGCUCAGCUGGGUUUCUCAGGAGUCUCAUCUGUCAGUGAAUUGACUAGAAACAGAGCAAAACGACUCCUCCAAUGUUGAUGAGCCUGCCCCUGGGAUUUGGAAACUUGAUAACAGAGAAAACCAAUAUAGACAAAGGAAUUUAAACAGGAUUAUGGUCAAUUAAGCAAAUGAGAAAAGGAUACUUGAAGGAGUAUUUGGGACACAGGAGUCAAAAACAGCAGGAAGACAUGAGGAGCUUCCCUAAGACUCUAGACUACAGCACUAUGUAGAUAACUAACAGUAGAUUGUUAAUUAUAUUAUUGAAGAGCCACUCACUAUGUGGAUAACUAACACUAGAAUAUUAAUUAUAUCAUUGAAGAAAUAAAAUUUGCAUUGAAAUAUAAAUGGUUUACAAAAGGUCAUGAAAAUCUUGGAGACUUAUUUCAAUUCAGACAAAUGUGUUCCUCUCAUUCUCGGCUGUUUACUAGUCCAUUGAUUUUGGAUCUGACCAACUGGGGAAGAGGCGUGGCCUCUCCUGACAGGAAGGCUCCAGGGCCCAGGCAGGGAGAAUGACGUCUCAGAAUGACUGCCUUGAGAGCCCUGUUCCCCUUUUAUCAACACACAGACCCAGAAGACCCUUCCGUCCUGUAGCACCUGCCAUGAGCAUUGAGCUCCUGUGCUGUGCGGCCUUUUCUCUCCUGUGGGCAGGUCCAGGGAAUGCUGCUGUCAAUCAGACCCCAAAAUUCCAGGUCCUGAAGACAGGACAGAGCAUGACACUGCAGUGUGCCCAGGAUAUGAACCAUGAAUGCAUGUCCUGGUAUCGACAAGACCCAGGCAUGCGGCUGAGGCUGAUUCAUUACUCAGCUGCUGCUGGUAUCACUGACAAAGGAGAAGUCCCCAAUGGCUACAAUGUCUCUAGAUCAAACACAGAGGAUUUCCCGCUCAGGCUGGAGUCGGCUGCUUCCUCCCAGACAUCUGUGUACUUCUGUGGCAGCAGUUACUCCACAGCACUACAAGGCUGUCUCCUCUCCGCACAUAAAGACAGGGAGGCUCUGCCCUCCUUCCCGCUCCCCAAGACUCAGGGAUGCCCUGGGCAGAGUUCUCUACACCAGGAACCUUGGAACCCCAAGUGGCCCAAAGUGGUCCAGACAGAAUGA